UACAGCCAUACUAUGUUGAAAUUCCAGUUCUCAUACAUUCACCAAAAUUAAGCAAAGUUGAGCCUGGUCAGUAUUGAGGUGGGUGACUGCUUGGGAAUAUCGGGUGCUGUAA
Non-coding RNA from Acanthosepion pharaonis, 112 nucleotides. NCBI's taxonomy places the organism in Eukaryota, Metazoa, Mollusca, Cephalopoda, Sepiida, Sepiidae. The record is from the annotation of a GenBank genome assembly.